This 253-nucleotide ribosomal RNA is filed under the name uncultured bacterium. RNAcentral's name for it is "partial 16S ribosomal RNA". It matches the Rfam family "Bacterial small subunit ribosomal RNA", at positions 524 to 776 of the family's 1533-position model. The record is from RNAcentral.
UACGUAGGGGGCAAGCGUUGUCCGGAUUUAUUGGGCGUAAAGAGCGUGUAGGCGGUCAGAUAGGUCCGUUGUGAAAACUCGAGGCUCAACCUCGAGACGCCGAUGGAAACCAUUUGGCUAGAGUCCGGAAGAGGAGAGUGGAAUUCCUGGUGUAGCGGUGAAAUGCGCAGAUAUCAGGAAGAACACCCGUGGCUAAGGCGGCUCUCUAGUACGGUACUGACGCUGAGACGCGAAAGCGUGGGGAGCGAACAGG